Molecule: transfer RNA, 66 nt
Filed under: Onychomys leucogaster (northern grasshopper mouse)
Lineage: Eukaryota; Metazoa; Chordata; Mammalia; Rodentia; Cricetidae
Description: tRNA-Lys
Source: RNAcentral
UCACUAUGAAGCUUAAAGCGUUAACCUUUUAAGUUAAAGUUAGAAAAUAAUAUUUUCCAUAGUGAU